GCCAAUCGCUUUUGCUGAAAUUUCCACGAAAGAAGACAUGUUGGAAUUUAUUUUCGCGAGUUUUGGAUCACUAUUCAAGCGUUUCGAAUCACUAUUCAAGGUUUCGAAUCACUAUUCAAGGUUUUGAUUGCUAUACAGCCUAUACUGCAAUAAAAAGCGGGUAAACAUUUCGUUUCCCAUCUUUUGCUUUGUACUUGGGGCAAGCACUAUAGCAAAUCUGGCAAAACUGAAUUUUGUUCUUUGAAACAAAAUUUACGUAAUUUCAUCACAAGGUAUAAUAGAAAAAAGUGUUGAUUUGCAAUUUAAUGAUUUAAUUAAACAUUAUUCAAUGAUUUCACUAAUUGUUUUUAAUAGGUGUAAUAUUUUAAUUUAACAAAAAACUAUCUCAGACUGUAUACCUUCCUUCCCAGUACAGGAGUAUUUUUACACCAAUUUUUCCAAGCAUUAUCUUGAUAUAGAAACUGAAACGACAUGAAUUGUAUCAAUCAAACUAGUCAACCUGCAUCACUUGUUAACUAGUCACACGAUUCGUCUGCUGAGAUGCUGACCCACUCAAAGUAACAAAAGAAAUUCAUGCAUCCAUUGCUGCCUCUAAACUACAACUUCCUCCGUGGUUUAGCAAGGAUUCCAGUCGGGAGGUCACGUUAAACGAGAUGGUACGAUCGGAAGUGGAAAAAAUAACUCGUUACACCGAGGUCAACUGUCAACUGUGUAUUUUUUUAACAGCACAGUAGUUGCUGACAACAGAACUGUGAAAGAUUGAAUCCAACAGGUUAAUGUCCAUAACCGUAGCCUCCUCCGUGACCGCUGCUGAAUCCACCGUAAACACCACCACCACCGACAGCUACGGCUUGAGCGGCUUGGGCAGCCGAAUAAGCUUUAUUGGCGGCCUGCUGGGCAGCUGCUAAAUCAGCUAACGAAGCUUGGGACUGAGUUCGACAGAAGCUGCAUUUGGAUUAUUGAAGUAAACCAACAGUUUAGCAGCAAUCAGUUAUCAACACAAUGGAUUGAUCUACAAUCUUCGUUAAUAAUCUGCAACACCUUUCGUCAUUCAUGGUUGGUCAAAGAUGAAUCAUUCAAGGAUAAUUCUUUCAGUUAACGUUUAACAAGCGGGGCAGCCACCGUGUCCUCCGCCAUAUCCUCCGCCGAAUCCACCAUAGGAUCCACCACCACCAACGGCAGUAGCUUGGGCAGGCUUGAGCGGCUGAAUAAGCCUUGUUGGCCGCCUGCUGGGCAGCUGCCAAAUCAGCCAGUGAAGCUUGUUGUUUGUAAGCCAAAGCUUGGGCGUUUGCUUGAGCCUGGUAGGCCAUUUGCGCUUGAGAAGCUUGUUGGGCCUGAGCAGCCUGGAGGGAGGCAACUGCUUGAGCAGCGUGAGACUGGGCAGCUUUGGCAGCAGCGGCCAAAGCCUGAGCCUGUUGAAGAGCCUGGACCUUGGUGGCUUCGGCAGCCUGAACAGCUUGGGCGGCUUGAGCGGCCUGUGCGGAUUCAGCGAAAGCAGCAGCCUGUGCGGCUUGUGCGGCCUGGGAGAUCUGGGCAGCUUGGGCCUGUUUGGCGGCUACGACGGCCUGGGCUUGCUGGGCGGCUUGAGUGGCUUGUGCAGCAAGGGUGGCCUGUGCUUGUUGGGCAGCCUGAGAUGCAGCUCCGGCCUGUGCGUUCUGGGCCGCUUUGGCUGCAUUGGCAGCUUCCUGGGCAAUAGCUGCAGCACCACCAUAACCUACUCCAUAUCCGCCAGCUCCACCACCAGCUCCUCCGCCGUAUCCGGAGCUACCGCCACCUCCGUAUCCACCACCACCGCUGGCGAAUCCACGUUUUUCCUAUUCAUUCACCCAUUUCUUAUUGUUUGCAGAAUAGUAUCAUGAAAAACAUGAAACACUUACACGAGCCUGCUCGUCGCUCUUGCUUUCCUCCACGUCGGACACGGAUUCAGCUUCGUUGAUAACUGCUGCUUGAAGAGCUGCUACGAAGCCUUAAUGAGGAUGCAAAAAAAGAGAACUAAACAACUGCCAAAACUAGUUUUCAAUGCCAACAGGAAAAAUAAAAGAAAAUCAGUAGCAUACCGAAGAUGAUCAAAUAACGAAGAGUAACUUUCAUUUUUUCUUAAUUGAAGAGAAUGAACUGGAGAAGUGACUUUGCUGAUGAGUUGCUGAAGACUGAUAGCUUUUUUCGAAUGAUGUUUCUCCUUAAAUAUCGUUACCGAUUGCGCAGUACCUGUUAUGGCUGACGACUCAGCACCCCACUAGUUUUCACAGUUUCGCCCCCUUUUUUUUGUUUGUUAGGGUUGCUAAUUUAGUCUACAGACGGAUUGGAAAUCUACGUUUUCAUUGUCGAAGACAUUCACUUUGUUUCUCGUCCUGGAAUUGCUCUUUGGUCUGUUACAGUACCACCGCUCGCAUCCACACGGAAUUUUCGGAUCUUUGCUUUUCAGAUACGCAAUUAGCCAAUAGAAAAUGUUUGUUUUGUUUCCGACAUUUACAAUACGUAUUGAUCUAAUCCACAUCUGCAAAUCGACUUGUUGAUUUUUGAAUUCCAUUGAAGACCAUGGAAUUCCCUAGUUAAGGCAAAACGAGAAAUUUUUCUCGACUCAAUGCGUUGGCUUCGAUUUCACUUUCCUUUUCAAUUGACGAUGUUCAUUAACAAAGACCUGCAGAGCUUUCUCUUUAGGGCCCAUUCAAUGAAUAAGACUUGAAAAAACAAUUAGUCAUUUGGAUCGUUUCGUCUGCCCACUUUUGCACGAUCUUGUAUUUAACACAGUCCAGCAAGGAACAAUGCACCAGAUUCCGCCGGAUUAAUUCAUCAUAACGAGAAAGUUGACGGUGCUGUUUCAAAUUAUGGCUGUUGCCUGCUUAUGAGUUAAUCAUCCGAAUAGUCACGAAUUGCACAAAGAAAAGAAAAAAAUGAAAGUCAGAGCAAAUUUAUAGACUCUUAAGUUUAAGUUUUUACGUUGCCGAUGAAUGAAUUCAUUUUCUGUUCAUCCCCAGUACACCUAUAGGAAAAUGAUAUGCACCUUAGCCGGAAGCCGUUGAUGACUUAAUUUGAACUGGAAUUGGGAUUCGCUUGUUGAAAAAGAGCUACGAGAGAGAUAGGAUUCGUAGGUAAAGAACGGAUCUCUUGCUCUGCCAUGCGAUAUGGUUGUCAAUGGUGCUGCAAUUUUUAAAAUUUUCAAGCAGACUUUCGUGAGAUGAAGUAUAUUGAUCGUUUCCAUAGGUUUGUACGCGAAUGAAACGACAGUAAUUCAAAUCGCACUUGUUAUAAUCUAAUCAUUAUAUUUGCACUAAAAAAAUUUUCUAUUUUUAGAAUGCAAGUACAAUCACAACAACUGGAUGGUUGCGUACAAUACACUCAUUAUCAUAAUAAAAUCAUCAAAUCAACAGCUUUAUACGAAGAUGGGAAGCAGAGGUGUAGAUUGCUAUUUAACUGUGUAUAUUAAUCGAAUCUUCUUUAACGGCCAUAGCUAGGGAAUCCUUUGUAGCCAGCUACGUUGGAUGGGUAUCCGGCGCCGGAGCUCGCGGCUGCGUUGUACGCAUUUCCAGCGGCUGCCGCUCCACUGGCCGCCCAGGCAGCAGCUUGAAGUCCGCCCUGCUGUGCAAGGUAGUUUCCAUGACCGGCGGAAGCCAAGAAAUUUUGACUGGCUUGGUAUCCGCUGACGAAGUUGUUGGCUCCAGUGCUGACGGCCUUCAAUGCGAUACCAUCAACGACGACGUUAACGCCCUUCAGAGAUCCGUGGUAACCACGUCCACGACGAACCUAAAAGAUGCACAUGUUACGAGGUUUUAAUUUGCAUCGUUUGAAUGGGUGCAAAAUCGACUUACGCGAUGCAGCACGCGUUCAGAUUGGUCGUCGCCCAGCGCGACCGCGAUCAUCAUAGCUGUUUGCGUGAGAAAAAUGAUUGAAUUGAGUGUUGAUUAAAUAAUGAUUUGCAUUAAAGUACUACCUAGCAGAAUGAUGGUGGUGGAGCCUUUCAUUUUGUUAAACUGUUGUCUGUCGAAUCGAGAGUGUUUGUGAACUUACAGUGGCUCAUUUGCCUACAUUUAUAGGGGCACACCACUCAUAGGUUUCACUUUCCUUUUAUGUAUUCACCCUGAUUGUUCGAUUCAUGUUUCUUUAAGAAUUGAGCUCUAUAACACUGCGAGACGAAUGAUAUUAACGGAUAGCAGGCCUGCCUGCCUGAAUACAAUUGGAAAUUUCAUUCCCUCCCUGAA
Molecule: long non-coding RNA, 4199 nt
Organism: Daphnia magna
Lineage: Eukaryota; Metazoa; Arthropoda; Branchiopoda; Diplostraca; Daphniidae
Exons: 6
Source: RefSeq, a predicted model, not a curated record